This 497-nucleotide ribosomal RNA is filed under the name uncultured bacterium. RNAcentral's name for it is "partial 16S ribosomal RNA". It matches the Rfam family "Bacterial small subunit ribosomal RNA", at positions 28 to 507 of the family's 1533-position model. The record is from RNAcentral.
GAUGAACGCUGGCGGCGUGCCUAAUACAUGCAAGUCGAACGCUGAAGCUUGGUGCUUGCCCCGAGCGGUUGAGUUGCGCACGGGUGAGUAACGCGUAGGUAACCUGCCUCUUAGCGGGGGAUAACUAUUGGAAACGAUAGCUAAUACCGCAUAAAAGUCGAUAUCGCAUGAUAUUGAUUUGAAAGGUGCAAAUGCAUCACUAAGAGAUGGACCUGCGUUGUAUUAGCUAGUUGGUGAGGUAACGGCUCACCAAGGCGACGAUACAUAGCCGACCUGAGAGGGUGAUCGGCCAAACUGGGACUGGGACACGGCCCAGACUCCUACGGGAGGCAGCAGGAGGGAAUCUUCGGCAAUGGGGGCAACCCUGACCGAGCAACGCCGCGUGAGUGAAGAAGGGUUUCGGAUCGGAAAGCUCUGUUGUAAGAGGAGAAAGAGUGUGAGAGUGGAAAGUUCACACUGUGACGGUAACUGACCAGAAAGGGACGGCUAACUACGUG